RNAcentral lists this ribosomal RNA (445 nucleotides) under uncultured bacterium. RNAcentral's name for it is "partial 16S ribosomal RNA". It matches the Rfam family "Bacterial small subunit ribosomal RNA", at positions 354 to 796 of the family's 1533-position model. The record is from RNAcentral.
GUGAGGAAUAUUGGUCAAUGGGCGAGAGCCUGAACCAGCCAAGUCGCGUGAAGGAUGAAGGUUUUAUGAAUUGUAAACUUCUUUUGCAGGGGAAUAAAGUACGGUACGUGUACCGUUUUGUAUGUACUCUGCGAAUAAGGAUCGGCUAACUCCGUGCCAGCAGCCGCGGUAAUACGGAGGAUCCAAGCGUUAUCCGGAUUUAUUGGGUUUAAAGGGUGCGCAGGCGGGUUGAUAAGUCAGCGGUGAAAGUUUGCAGCUUAACUGUAAAAUUGCCGUUGAAACUGUCGAUCUUGAGUGCAAAUGAGGUAAGCGAAAUGUGGUGUGUAGCGGUGAAAUGCUUAGAUAUAACACAGAACACCGAUUGCGAAGGCAGCUUACUGGGAUGCAACUGACGCUCAUGCACGAAAGCGUGGGGAUCAAACAGGAUUAGAAACCCCUGUAGUCC